This is a long non-coding RNA of Dalotia coriaria, 888 nucleotides long. RefSeq lists it as uncharacterized. NCBI's taxonomy places the organism in Eukaryota, Metazoa, Arthropoda, Insecta, Coleoptera, Staphylinidae. The record is from RefSeq and is a predicted model, not a curated record. The transcript is spliced from 2 exons.
CAAACACUAACAUUUACCAAGUUGAUACCCAUAAUGGCACUAUAAAUUAAGGUAUCAUGUGGAAAAACAUCAGUAUGGUGCUAAGAGUGAUAGCAUUCAUUCGCCAUGAAAUAUACAUUAUCAUUGUUCGGCAUAAUUACUUCGUUUAUUGUGAUCGUAUCUGCAAUAAAUGAAUGCCAACAUGCCAGAUAUUAUCUGCAAAGCAAUCAUACGGUUGCUCUAGGCUGCGUUAGUCGCAUUGAAAAAGUUGGAAAUAUUCAUGGUAAUUGUGAAUUUCCAAAGUUGUUGCAUGGUUAUUACGACGUAUAUUUUCUUCGCUGCGCCUGCGACUCUCAAUGCCCGAGUGGUUUCCGAUGCGCCUUCGACUAUUGCUUUCAACGGUCAAUUUGUCGCAAAAUAUCGCUUCCAAAGUGUUCGGUCACGAAGGCACCAACGACACAAGUAUCAACGACGCCACUUCUACCGCCGGCGGAAUAAUCGUUUAAUUUUUAUGUUUAUUUUCGCAAAAAAAUGCUAACUUAUAGGGCGACGCUUUCGUCAAAGACUUUCGUGGUUUUGACGCUGAAUGUAUUUAAAAAUAGCAGGCAUAUUGCGAUGUUACUCAUCACGAACGGCGGCCCAGCUUGGGAAAACCACUUGUUGCGCGUUUCACACGCGUCGCGAGUGGCGGCACCCGCCACCCGUUGCCACACGCUUAUGGCAUGUUCUUGCAAACAUUCAACUUUUUCAAAAUCGCGGAAAAGUAAAUCAUAUUCGGUUUGGGCUUAAUUUUUAUAUUUUGCUAAAUUUAAAUUAAAGAAGGUUAAAUAAUAGUAUUUAAGAUGUUUGUUCAUAAAACCUAGCGGCGAUCUUCAAAAUAAAAAUAAAUAUGUAUUAUACAUACUCGUA